This 171-nucleotide unclassified non-coding RNA is filed under the name Centruroides sculpturatus (bark scorpion). RNAcentral's name for it is "beta-mammal toxin Cn2, transcript variant X2". Lineage: Eukaryota; Metazoa; Arthropoda; Arachnida; Scorpiones; Buthidae. The record is from RNAcentral.
GUUUAGAUACCAUCGAAGAUGAACACGUUGUUGAUCAUCACUGCUUGUUUGGCCCUGGUCGGAACAGUCUGGGCGAAGGAAGGUUAUCUGGUGAACUCGUACACGGGCUGCAAAUACGAAUGCCUUAAAUUGGGAGAUAACGAUUAUUGCCUGAGGGAAUGCAGACAGCAG